AUUGAACGCUGGCGGCAGGCCUAACACAUGCAAGUCGGACGGUAGCACAGAGAGCUUGCUCUUGGGUGACGAGUGGCGGACGGGUGAGUAAUGUCUGGGGAUCUGCCCGAUAGAGGGGGAUAACCACUGGAAACGGUGGCUAAUACCGCAUAACGUCGCAAGACCAAAGAGGGGGACCUUCGGGCCUCUCACUAUCGGAUGAACCCAGAUGGGAUUAGCUAGUAGGCGGGGUAAUGGCCCACCUAGGCGACGAUCCCUAGCUGGUCUGGGAGGAUGACCAGCCACACUGGAACGGAGACACGGUCCAGACUCCUACGGGAGGCAGCAGUGGGGAAUAUUGCACAAUGGGCGCAAGCCUGAUGCAGCCAUGCCGCGUGUAUGAAGAAGGCCUUCGGGUUGUAAAGUACUUUCAGCGGGGAGGAAGGCGAUGCGGUUAAUAACCGCGUCGAUUGACGUUACCCGCAGAAGAAGCACCGGCUAACUCCGUGCCAGCCGCCGCCGUAA
RNAcentral lists this ribosomal RNA (504 nucleotides) under uncultured bacterium. RNAcentral's name for it is "partial 16S ribosomal RNA". It matches the Rfam family "Bacterial small subunit ribosomal RNA", at positions 29 to 523 of the family's 1533-position model. The record is from RNAcentral.